CUAAAACUCAAAGGAAUUGACGGGAACCCGCACAAGCGGUGGAGCAUGUGGUUCAAUUCGACGAUAAGCGAGGAACCUUACCAGGGCUUGACAUGUCUGGAAUCCGGCCGAAAGGUUGGAGUGCCCGCAAGGGAACCAGAACACAGGUGCUGCAUGGCUGUCGUCAGCUCGUGUCGUGAGACGUCGGGUUAAGUCCUACAACGAGCGCAACCCUUAUCUCAUGUUGAAUUGUUCAUGAGAGACUGCCUCGGUUAACGAGGAGGAAGGUGGGGAUGACGUCAAGUCAGCAUGGCCCUUAUGCCCUGGGCGACACACGUGCUACAAUGGAGCCGACAACGGGACGCCAAGUCGCAAGACGGAGCCUCAAAGGAAUUGACGGGAACCCGCACAAGCGGUGGAGCAUGUGGUUCAAUUCGACGAUAAGCGAGGAACCUUACCAGGGCUUGACAUGUCUGGAAUCCGGCCGAAAGGUUGGAGUGCCCGCAAGGGAACCAGAACACAGGUGCUGCAUGGCUGUCGUCAGCUCGUGUCGUGAGACGUCGGGUUAAGUCCUACAACGAGCGCAACCCUUAUCUCAUGUUGAAUUGUUCAUGAGAGACUGCCUCGGUUAACGAGGAGGAAGGUGGGGAUGACGUCAAGUCAGCAUGGCCCUUAUGCCCUGGGCGACACACGUGCUACAAUGGAGCCGACAACGGGACGCCAAGUCGCAAGACGGAGCAAAUCCCUUAAACGGCCCCCCAGUUCGGAUUGGGGUCUGCAACUCGACCCCAUGAAGCCGGAAUCGCUAGUAACCGUGGAUCAGCCUUGCCGCGGUGAAUACGUUCUCGGGUUUUGUACACACCGCCCGUCAAGUCAGGGGAGCCGGAAAUGCCCGAACCCCGCAUUCGCGGGGGAAGGUAGGUCUGGUAACAAGGACUAAGUCGUAACAAGGCAUCCGUAGCGGAAGCUGUGGAUGGAUCACCUCCUUUCUAAGGAGAAA
Molecule: ribosomal RNA, 979 nt
Filed under: Candidatus Uhrbacteria bacterium RIFCSPLOWO2_01_FULL_47_25
Lineage: Bacteria; Candidatus Uhriibacteriota
Description: bacterial SSU rRNA
Rfam family: Bacterial small subunit ribosomal RNA (bases 307-968)
Source: RNAcentral